This is a long non-coding RNA of Manduca sexta (tobacco hornworm), 593 nucleotides long. RefSeq lists it as uncharacterized. Lineage: Eukaryota; Metazoa; Arthropoda; Insecta; Lepidoptera; Sphingidae. The transcript is spliced from 2 exons. The record is from RefSeq and is a predicted model, not a curated record.
GGAUAAAUGUAUAGUUCUACUUUGAGGGAAUUAAAACACAUAAAUACUCUUGUGGGAAGGACCUGACCAUCAAAAACAUGUCCACCGGUACACCUCUUACGAGCCCCAUCCUGGUAACAUUAAAAGAUGGAAUAAAAGCUUCAUAACCUUUUCCAAUAAGGCAUGAUGUUUUAAGAAAGAAUUUGCAGCUGAGUGACUUGUGAAUGCCAUUGAAAUUUUGUUGCGACCGAUACGCUUCAAACUGCCUUGUACUAUGUUUGGCACCUGGUUUUUAUACAAAAAUCUGCCAAAGCAUAUUGGAUGCAAAUUAAGAUCCUGUGUUACCUCUCCUGUACUAGACCUAGCAACAUGAAUGAUAAAUGGUGAAGCAUCCAAUGCAGUAUAUUCUUUUCUAAUACUAUCAGAUAUAUUGGGAGGUAACUGGGAGGCCUGAGAUGGAAGAACUUGUGUAUGCGGUGCUAUAAGAGGUGAUGGAUUUUCAGUGAUUUUUUCGUCACUGUCUUCACAACGACAUCCACUUCUACCUGAAUCUACAGCCAUUGCAUUUUUGCGUUUUUUUUUAUUACAUGUUUUGCACACCUUAUUUAAUCGUA